ACGGGGCGCAGCAGGCGCGAAACCAACUCAAUGCACUAACGUGCGAAGGGGUUACCUCGAGUGCCACCUGAAGAAGGUGGCUUUUCCUUGGUCUAAAAAGCCUCGGGAAUAAGAGGGGGGCAAGACUGGUGUCAGCCGCCGCGGUAACACCAGCCCCUCGAGUGGUGGGGAUGAUUAUUUGGCCUAAAGCGUCCGUAGCCGGCCGUAUAAGUUUCCCGUUAAAUCCAACGUCUCAAGCGUUGGACUGCGGGAAAUACUGUACGGCUAGAGAGUGGGAGAGGUCAGCGGUAUUCUGGGGGUAGGGGCGAAAUCCUUUGAUCCCCGGAGGACCACCAGUGGCGAAGGCUGCUGACUAGAACACGUCUGACGGUCAGGGACGAAAGCUGGGGUAGCGAACCGGAUUAGAUACCCGGGUAGUCCCAGCCGUAAACGAUGCAUGCUAGGUGUUGGGUUGGCCACGAGCCACCCCAGUGCCGCAGGGAAGCCGUUAAGCAUGCCGCCUGGGAAGUACGAUCGCAAGAUUGAAACUUAAAGGAAUUGGCGGGGGAGCAC
This 552-nucleotide ribosomal RNA is filed under the name uncultured archaeon. RNAcentral describes it as "bacterial SSU rRNA". It matches the Rfam family "Archaeal small subunit ribosomal RNA", at positions 325 to 879 of the family's 1478-position model. The record is from RNAcentral.